This 429-nucleotide ribosomal RNA is filed under the name Bacteroidota bacterium. RNAcentral's name for it is "Bacteroidetes bacterium partial 16S ribosomal RNA". It matches the Rfam family "Bacterial small subunit ribosomal RNA", at positions 355 to 776 of the family's 1533-position model. Lineage: Bacteria; Pseudomonadati; Bacteroidota. The record is from RNAcentral.
UAGGGAAUCUUCGGCAAUGGGGGGAACCCUGACCGAGCAACGCCGCGUGAGUGAAGAAGGUUUUCGGAUCGUAAAGCUCUGUUGUUAAGGAAGAACGAGUGUGAGAAUGGAAAGUUCAUGCUGUGACGGUACUUAACCAGAAAGGGACGGCUAACUACGUGCCAGCAGCCGCGGUAAUACGUAGGUCCCGAGCGUUGUCCGGAUUUAUUGGGCGUAAAGCGAGCGCAGGCGGUUAGAAAAGUCUGAAGUGAAGGGCAGUGGCUCAACCAUUGUAGGCUUUGGAAACUGUUUAACUUGAGUGCAGAAGGGGAGAGUGGAAUUCCAUGUGUAGCGGUGAAAUGCGUAGAUAUAUGGAGGAACACCGGUGGCGAAAGCGGCUCUCUGGUCUGUAACUGACGCUGAGGCUCGAAAGCGUGGGGAGCGAACAGG